UUACAAAAGUAUCAGUUUAUGAUGUUUGAACAUUUUUUAAAAAUCUGGUGCUUCAUUGUAGAUAGUUUGAGAAGCACAGUUCCCAACCAGAGGGUAUCAAAUCUUGCUACAUACCCAUCUAAGGAACUUGGUAAAAAGCAAGAGCUCCAGGAACCAUACUAAUUCAAUGAGCUCUGUAUUUUUUCUUAUUGCUUCAGGUAGUUCUGAUUCACACAAACUCUGAGAAUCAAUCACUAAAUUAAUCUCUAAGUGAUUUUCAAAAUUUGAGUUUCACCUCUUCUUGAAGCCCUUCUGAUGUCCCAUUCAUUGAAGGCUGUACAGUAGACAGAGUUAACUAAGCAAGCUAAGGCCUCUUACUGGGUGGAGAAUUUUGGAAUAUAUCAUGGUUGUUAGUUUACUAUGAACCUUGGUCUCUUCACUCACGGAUUGAAAUUGGGAUAGUGAAAUUAAUAAGGACCAUGUUUUGAUACUACAUACUGGCAGGAAUAUAGAAAUUAUUUUGCUAUUAUUCGGUUAAAUGGGCACAAAACAUGAAGAAUAUAAUUCUCCUGCUUGUAAAGCAUAAACAUUUUCUGUAAGUUGCUAAUAUUCUCUCAAACACAACCUUCCCCUUUUCUUUCAAUUUAACCUUCAUGCAACGAAAAAAAUCUGAGGGCCUAUGUGAUACCAGCAACAAUCCUUACCUUUUUCAGCAGACUGUGCGCCCUCCUGCUUUUCCCCCAAAUGCAUGUCAGUUGCUUACUUAAGAGUAGUUCUCCAGGUGUGGCCUCUGGACCAGGAGCAGCAGAAUCACCUGGGAAACUCUCAGAUUCUUGAGUCUCCCCCCAACCUGCUGAAUCAGAAAUUCUGGAAAGGGGCUUUAUAACUAAGAGGUAAGAGUAAGAAUGGAUACAUGUGUGGAGUAAGAAUGGAUACAUGUAUAUGUGUGUGUGUGUGUAUAUAUAUAUAUACAUAUAUAUAUAUAACUGAAACAGAUUUUAGUUUAUAUGAAGACAAAUAUGAUAAACUCACCUAUUAUGCCCUUGCUUUUAGGGUUGUACUGUAUCUGUGCUUCCAGGUCAUCAUAGAAAAAGUUCAUGGUGGGAGAAUUUCUGUAUGUAGCUUAUAAAUUUGACACUUCAUUAAUAUCAAAUGAGCAGCCAACAGUUCUGUUUUGGCUUCCCUUAAGAGCCUCUUUCUGGAUCCACAGUCACUAAACACAGGUUCCUUCAUCAGCAAUUUAUGGUAUCACAGCAGUGGAUUCUAUUCCAAGAAGACACUUGUACUUUGGAGAGAAAUGACUAUAGAUCACCUUGAUGUUCUUUUCUUUUCAGUUUUACUCUGCAAGGUUUGAGCUAUUAAUUCUUCCCAUCUAUAUGGACUAAUAUUUCAAGAAUCCUUCUUUUAUAAGUCCUCUUGGGAUCCUAAAUACAGAAAGAACCCCACCCCGGAAAUCAAACUGCUUGUAUCUUGUUGCACCUAUAUGAAGAGUCAUAAUCAAGCAAGGUGGUGACACUCACAGUUCUGGAAAGCAAGCUCCAGUAAGGGGAGAAAUUCAGCCCAGCUGGCAUUGUACUUGCUGCAAAAAUCACAAUCUCCCAGACAAAACAGUCCUCACACGGAUCAACAGGAAAAGACAAGCACAGCUUCCGAUCUCUUUAAAUCACAGUAGAGAGAUCAUUAUGUCAUUAGUGUUCAAACUAGGAGGCACCGUAGGUUUCCUCAGUAAAAUGCCUCUUAUUUCACAGAUGACUUGGUUAAGCGAUUUGCUUAAAGAUAGUCAAGGAGUUAAUGAAAAAAUCAAGAUGAGAAACCAUUUCUAUUUUCAUAGUAUGCCUUUCUCCCAAAACACUAAGUUCUCAUGCCUUAGAUUAUGCAGGAAUUUAAAUGAGGACUUCUAGUAGUAUGCAUGCUUGGCUAUUCCUACUGGUCUGCAGGAACUACAAGGACCAUUCCUUCAAGAACUGUCAGGACAAUUUAUUUACCGCAUCACUAUCUACUUCAGAACCUAAGCCUUGAAUUCCCUCCCUCUACCACCUAAAACUGCUCUUCUGGUUCAUUCAGUCUAAUCUCUUAACUGACAUCAACACCAUCUUUUUUUCUUUCUCUAUCAAUAUUCUGGAUAGUCAGAAUUAGCGGGAUUUAAGUUUUAGUCUUCACACUGUUGAUUAUUCUCCAUGCCAUCUUGGGCAGGUUAUGUAUCCUGCCUAGACUUCUACUGCCUCAUUUAAACAUACUAAACAUAAUUGAGUCUAGUCAGGGGCUCUUUUUGUGAGGUCAGAUCUCCAAGCUCAGUAAGUCUAUGAAAAAUUGUAUGUUUAAUUUUAUGUGCAUAUAUUGUGAGCAUUACAUUACAGUAUAGAAAGGAUACCUAAAUUUAAUUAGUUAAGAAUUUCUGGGCUAAAUGAUUUCUUGAGUCCAUUCAAACUGAUUCUGUAAAUUACACUAUAUGAUGAAAAGAUAUCUCAUUUUGUCCAUAGAAAUCCAUUUAUUUAAUCCAUCUACUUUGUCUUCAGUUUACCUGAAGCCCAAGGGAUCUGGAAUAGUAUUUCACAACACCUACCUACUGGUUACAGGUUAUCCCCCAAAAAACUGCAGUCACCUUCCCUACAGUCUGUUUCCACAGCUGCUUCCUUGAGCUGCUGCCUUAUUUCUGAUAGUAAGCUCUAAUUGCCUUUCUGACUUCCUCUAACACCUGCUAUUGA
Long non-coding RNA from Phocoena sinus (vaquita), 2684 nucleotides. Lineage: Eukaryota; Metazoa; Chordata; Mammalia; Artiodactyla; Phocoenidae. The record is from Ensembl.